RNAcentral lists this ribosomal RNA (213 nucleotides) under Aphelinus asychis. RNAcentral's name for it is "partial 28S ribosomal RNA". It matches the Rfam family "Eukaryotic large subunit ribosomal RNA", at positions 967 to 1163 of the family's 3401-position model. Lineage: Eukaryota; Metazoa; Arthropoda; Insecta; Hymenoptera; Aphelinidae. The record is from RNAcentral.
UUUCCCUCAGGAUAGCUGGCACUCGCUUGAGCGAGUCUCAUCUGGUAAAGCGAAUGAUUAGAGGCCUUGGGGCCGAAACGACCUCAACCUAUUCUCAAACUUUAAAUGGGUGAGAUCUCUGGCUUGCUUGAACGUUGAAGCCACGAGAUAAUUUUUCAAUGGAUCAGAGUGCCAAGUGGGCCAAUUUUGGUAAGCAGAACUGGCGCUGUGGGA